Molecule: small nuclear RNA, 104 nt
Organism: Homo sapiens (human)
Lineage: Eukaryota; Metazoa; Chordata; Mammalia; Primates; Hominidae
Source: Rfam
UAAAUAAAUUAAUUAAAUAAAAUAAGAUAGGAACAAUGCAGAGAAGAUUAGCAAGGCCCUUGCACAAGGAUGUCAUGAAAAUUUGCUAAGCAUUCCGUAUAUUU